GAUGAACGCUGGCGGCGUGCCUAAUACAUGCAAGUCGAGCGAACGGACGAGAAGCUUGCUUCUCUGAUGUUAGCGGCGGACGGGUGAGUAACACGUGGAUAACCUACCUAUAAGACUGGGAUAACUUCGGGAAACCGGAGCUAAUACCGGAUGAUAUUUUGAACCGCAUGGUUCAAAAGUGAAAGACGGUCUUGCUGUCACUUAUAGAUGGAUCCGCGCUGCAUUAGCUAGUUGGUAAGGUAACGGCUUACCAAGGCAACGAUGCAUAGCCGACCUGAGAGGGUGGUCGGCCACACUGGAACUGAGACACGGUCCAGACUCCUACGGGAGGCAGCAGUAGGGAAUCUUCCGCAAUGGACGAAAGCCUGACGGAGCAACGCCGCGUGAGUGAUGAAGGUCUUCGGAUCGUAAAACUCUGUUAUUAGGGAAGAACAUAUGUGUAAGUAACUGUGCACAUCUUGACGGUACCUAAUCAGAAAGCCACGGCUAACUACGUG
This 497-nucleotide ribosomal RNA is filed under the name uncultured bacterium. RNAcentral describes it as "partial 16S ribosomal RNA". It matches the Rfam family "Bacterial small subunit ribosomal RNA", at positions 28 to 507 of the family's 1533-position model. The record is from RNAcentral.